This 164-nucleotide ribosomal RNA is filed under the name uncultured bacterium. RNAcentral describes it as "partial 16S rRNA". It matches the Rfam family "Bacterial small subunit ribosomal RNA", at positions 355 to 511 of the family's 1533-position model. The record is from RNAcentral.
UAGGGAAUCUUCCACAAUGGACGAAAGUCUGAUGGAGCAACACCGCGUGAGUGAAGAAGGUUUUCGGAUCGUAAAGCUCUGUUGUUGGUGAAGAAGGAUAGAGGCAGUAACUGGUCUUUAUUUGACGGUAAUCAACCAGAAAGUCACGGCUAACUACGUGCCAG